RNAcentral lists this ribosomal RNA (337 nucleotides) under uncultured Spiroplasma sp. RNAcentral's name for it is "bacterial SSU rRNA". It matches the Rfam family "Bacterial small subunit ribosomal RNA", at positions 202 to 530 of the family's 1533-position model. Lineage: Bacteria; Bacillati; Mycoplasmatota; Mollicutes; Entomoplasmatales; Spiroplasmataceae. The record is from RNAcentral.
AGGUCCGUUUGGACCGCUAGGAGAUGAGGAUGCGGCGUAUUAGCUAGUAGGUGAGGUAAUGGCUCACCUAGGCGAUGAUACGUAGCCGAACUGAGAGGUUGAUCGGCCACAUUGGGACUGAGAUACGGCCCAGACUCCUACGGGAGGCAGCAGUAGGGAAUUUUUCACAAUGGGCGAAAGCCUGAUGAAGCAGAUGCCGCGUGAGUGAUGAAGGUCUUCGGAUUGUAAAGCUCUGUUGUAAGGGAAGAAAUGCUAGUAGAGGAAAUGCUACUAGCUUGACGGUACCUUACCAGAAAGCCACGGCUAACUAUGUGCCAGCAGCCGCGGUAAUACAUAG